CCUGGAGUUGAGAUCUACAGUACCCUCACUCCUUCUCCUGCCCCUUGGGGGAACAUUUACAGCCAGCACAGGGUUUCUCUGCAGCCUCCUUGUCUCUGCAUGUGUAGCGCUGAUUUUUGUCACAGCUUAGUCAUCCGGGAACCGGUGCUGUCUCUUUUUUUAAGUGCACGCUGUUAGCCCUGAUCUAAGGGACCAUCCCACCACUCCUUGAGAGUGAAAGCCCAGUGAUUGGACUGUGGCUAGUGUGAAGAGGAUGGCCCGACGUUAAGACUUUUGAGAUCUUGGAAUCUGAAAAAUGCAUCAACAGCGAGCUCGCUGCCAGCCAGGCCUCCAUGUGAGCUUGCCUCCGUGUUCAACAAGCCUUUCACAUCUACUAGGACUCAAGCCGCUCAACAUCCUCCUGGCCGUCCCAGCCCCUCCACUUAGUAAACUGUACAUUCCUCAAGCAGCAAACAUAUCUGCUUGUCUCAGAUCACACCACUCCCCUUUGCCCCCCGGUGCCAUUUCAGCCUCCACCCUCCAGUACCUGAUUUCUGCCUCAUUUCCAGCUUUUGCUUCUCCAGCAGACAGCGGAGACGCUGCAAAGACGCUGACACUGACCCAUAAUUCCAUCCCAGAUCCCUCCAUGGCAAGAUAACUGACAUGGUUCAGAGACAUUCUGACUAAUCAUCCCUCCACACCAAUAAAUAUAUUCCCCCGUUGAUGCUGUGCAGACCACCUUCUUCAAGCUAAAUAUCCCCUUGGGGACAAUAAAGUAUAUAUUAUCUUCUCA
Perca flavescens (yellow perch) is the source of this 772-nucleotide long non-coding RNA. RefSeq lists it as uncharacterized. The transcript is spliced from 4 exons. NCBI's taxonomy places the organism in Eukaryota, Metazoa, Chordata, Actinopteri, Perciformes, Percidae. The record is from RefSeq and is a predicted model, not a curated record.